UCAGAAGAAAUGGUAGAUAUUCAUAGUUGGGAGGAGGGAAGGUAGAGGGAGAAGCUGCUAUCCCAGGAGUCUAGGGAAGAAAGAGUCAAUUAAAAAAAAGUACAAGUGACCCUUAGCCCCAGGGGAGGAUGCUGUCCUGUUUUGGUAAUUGGAGGAAGGGAAGCAAGACUAGAGGAAGAUGGGAUUAGCCCGCAAAGAAGAGUAACAAGGCCUAGUAUGGGGGAGGGAAAAGAGGGGGGCGGGUCCUCUUCUGCCGCACUGCUGGUGGGAGGGGAAAGUGGGGAACCGAGUUGGUGGAUUACGUCGCUCUCACGUGACCAAGAGCUGACGUGUGCAGAAGUCCUUCUUGUCCUGGUCGUUGUUCCCGUCUGAGUACCAGCUCCCUAUUACCCUGAGGGCGGGCGAGUGCAGCCGAGAAAAGAAGGAGGCGGAAAAGAAAUUGUCCCAGAUCCCUGCAGUCUUUCCGUAGGUUGCGGUACAACGCCAGGCAAGAGAAGAGGAAGGAAAAACCAGAACUGUGAAGGUCGAGUUGAGGGUCUGCUGUAGCAGGUGGCACUGCUUGAACCAAGGGAGGAACUUUCCCCCGGAUCAGUAGAGGUCGGUGUGGGCGUGGGGGCAGCCUGGAAUGGGGGAGGGGUUAGAAAUCAGCUUGGGUUUGGCCAGGCUCACUCAAUCCUACUUUGUUUCCUUGUGUCCACCCAUUUCAGACCAGGGAGGGGGCACAGCAUGUGCGUGUUUUGGAUGGCACAGUGAGGUUUAACCAAAAUCUGACGCCCUAGAUGGUAAAUUAGGAAAGCAUCAAAUACACACUGGAUGCGUCAAACCCUCGGGUUUUUUUUUUUUUCUUCUUCUUCCACUUCUUCUGGUAUCCCUGCAGAUCAGAAAGACUGUUGGGCGUGGCAUAACUCACAGGAAAGGAAGAAGGGGCAAGCUGCUGUUUUAAGGAGGUUUACCUCUGUAAGCAAUUACUGUGGCCUUGACGUGACUUGAAGAAGAUCACUCUCCACAGGACUGCACUCAGGCCCGAAGGCCUCUUCCCUUAUCUUGAGUGACUACUCUAUUUCUUGGUCCCUG
Molecule: long non-coding RNA, 1074 nt
Filed under: Mus spicilegus (steppe mouse)
Lineage: Eukaryota; Metazoa; Chordata; Mammalia; Rodentia; Muridae
Description: lncRNA (ENSMSIG00000018909.1)
Source: RNAcentral